Molecule: long non-coding RNA, 1097 nt
Organism: Pezoporus occidentalis (night parrot)
Lineage: Eukaryota; Metazoa; Chordata; Aves; Psittaciformes; Psittacidae
Exons: 7
Source: RefSeq, a predicted model, not a curated record
AAGACGACCAGCAUGGGAAAGAAGUAGUAUUUGUGGUGGCUCCAAAGAAAACAGGAGAACAAGAGUUAAAAGGAAAGGUCCUGUUGUUCCUGUUUGAAGUCAAUAGGUGCUCUUAGUGCACAAAAAAUGCAGCCUGGAAUGUUAUGCAAUCAAAUUGGGCUUCCACCUGCCCAGUCUUCAAGGAAACAUCAGCAGCUGGUGAUGGGAAGAGGCCUCAUUAGUAAGAGAGAAGCAGCAAUCGGAAUUCCACUGAUCUCAGCUGGCUCAAUCGCUUGUGACAGCAUCCCAGCAACCAGCUAGUUCAGGUUCUUCUGCUGAGCCCUUGGCCACUUGCACAUGCUUAUUGCCAGGAAAGAAGCAUAGGACCUCAACUGUGAAAUGCAUUUGUUACAGCGUAAAGAGAAUCACUAUGUUGCUGGGAAUGAAGAUACAGUCUUCCUGGCAAAACACUGGGGGAAACAGUUAAUACAUCCUAACUCCUCACAUCCUGAGAACUGAAUUCUUCUGUUCCUGUAAAGUCAAAGGUAAGAUCUGAGUAAGAACUUGUCCUACAACCUACAUGGAUGCUCCUGCCCCACACCCAGGAAACCCACACAGACAAGGAACCAGGGAACCAGUGAUCUAUGACUUGCUGCCCCUCUGGGUCUGGAAACAGGAAUUACAAAGAACAAGAAGCAGAAAUGUAAAGCAGAAACGAGGCCAAGCAUCAGUUCUGGAGUCAGAUCAGCAUCAGGGAGCUGGAGCCAUCCGGACUGCUUCCUCUUUUCCUCAAGUGAACUCCUGGUGGAAACAUAAACUAAGGCUGAAUUCACUUUGAACCAAGAGCAAGACUUCAAAGGAAGCUUUGGCAAAGAGGAAAGCAGGGUGAAAACAGGGUAGGUGUAAGAGGACACAAGGUAUGUGCCAUUUUAAGGGAUUCAGGGGUAUCCUGGGAAGCAGCAGGCAUUUAUCCCUUUCCUGUGCAUAUGCUGACAAGAAUGCACUAUUCUUUCUUUAACAAUCUUAAGUCCUACUUUUAAGUAUUUUAAGUUGUCUAUUAUAAUUAAGCCUUUAUAUUAAUAUACAUUAAGUUCUAUAUCCACUGCAUGGAAAAAUUC